Molecule: ribosomal RNA, 609 nt
Filed under: uncultured bacterium
Lineage: Bacteria
Description: SSU rRNA
Rfam family: Bacterial small subunit ribosomal RNA
Source: RNAcentral
CCUGAGAGGGUGGCCCCCCACAAUGGAACUGAAACACGGUCCAUACACCUACGGGGGGCAGCAGUAGGGAAUAUUGCACAAUGGGCGAAAGCCUGAUGCAGCAACACCGCGUGUGCGAAGAAGGCCUUCGGGUCGUAAAGCACUUUUCUGAGGGAUGAGCAAGGACAGUACCUCAGGAAUAAGUCUCGGCUAACUACGUGCCAGCAGCCGCGGUAAAACGUAGGAGGCAAGCGUUAUCCGGAUUCACUGGGCGUAAAGCGCGUGCAGGCGGUUCGGUAAGUUGGGCGUGAAAUCUCCUGGCUCAACUAGGAGAGGUCGUUCAAUACUACCGGGCUAGAGAGUGGUAGAGGAAGAUGGAAUUCCCGGUGUAGUGGUGAAAUGCGUAGAUAUCGGGAGGAACACCAGUGGCGAAGGCGAUCUUCUGGACCAUUUCUGACGCUCAGACGCGACAGCUAGGGUAGCAAACGGGAUUAGAGACCCCGGUAGUCCUAGCCGUAAACGAUGUGAACUUGGCGUCGGUGGGUUAAACUCCAUCGGUGCCGAAGCUAACGCGAUAAGUUCACCGCCUGGGGACUACGGCCGCAAGGUUAAAACUCAAAGGAAUUGACG